GGUAGAAUGGCCGAGAGUUAGGCAGUGGAUUGUAGCUCCAAGUACAGGGGUUCAAGCCCUCUUUUUACCA
RNAcentral lists this transfer RNA (70 nucleotides) under Gymnorhamphichthys sp. NM-2010. RNAcentral's name for it is "tRNA-Tyr". It matches the Rfam family "tRNA". From Rfam's summary of the family: Transfer RNA (tRNA) molecules are approximately 80 nucleotides in length. Their secondary structure includes four short double-helical elements and three loops (D, anti-codon, and T loops). Further hydrogen bonds mediate the characteristic L-shaped molecular structure. tRNAs have two regions of fundamental functional importance: the anti-codon, which is responsible for specific mRNA codon recognition, and the 3' end, to which the tRNAs corresponding amino acid is attached (by aminoacyl-tRNA synthetases). tRNAs cope with the degeneracy of the genetic code in two manners: having more than one tRNA (with a specific anti-codon) for a particular amino acid; and 'wobble' base-pairing, i.e. permitting non-standard base-pairing at the 3rd anti-codon position. The record is from RNAcentral. Lineage: Eukaryota; Metazoa; Chordata; Actinopteri; Gymnotiformes; Rhamphichthyidae.